Molecule: long non-coding RNA, 262 nt
Organism: Mauremys reevesii (Reeves's turtle)
Lineage: Eukaryota; Metazoa; Chordata; Testudines; Geoemydidae
Exons: 3
Source: RefSeq, a predicted model, not a curated record
GAGACGAGGCCUGGCCAGGAUCUAGCGGAGAUGUCUAGUGAACUGCCCAUGGACUCUGUGCCCAGCACCACUCCAAAAUUAUUCGCUACCUUCAAAGAAACAGGGCACUGCUCAGCCUGUUAGUUUCUGUCCCAGCCUCUUACACAGAUGUAUGCUGCAGCCAGCCCAGCUCAGAAGGCAGUGCGGACAGAUGAUCUCAUCCCGUCAAACCAAGCAAUACGGGUCCCAUUGAGGCUUAGAUGGAAGAUCCCAUUCAUCUCCU